This 24-nucleotide non-coding RNA is filed under the name Arabidopsis thaliana (thale cress). Lineage: Eukaryota; Viridiplantae; Streptophyta; Magnoliopsida; Brassicales; Brassicaceae. The record is from RNAcentral.
AAUGCAGUUUGCCUUGCUUCUUGG